GACUUGGCUGGGCGGUCCGCCGCAAGGUGUGUACUGUCUGGCUGGGCCUUUCCUCUUGGUGAGCUGGCAUGCCCUUUACUGGGUGUGUCAGGGAACCAGGUCUUUUACCUUGAGAAAAUUAGAGUGUUCAAAGCAGGCAAAGCCUGAAUACAUUAGCAUGGAAUAAUAAAAUAGGACGUGUGGUUCUAUUUUGUUGGUUUCUAGAAUCGCCGUA
This 214-nucleotide ribosomal RNA is filed under the name uncultured fungus. RNAcentral describes it as "partial small subunit ribosomal RNA". The stretch from base 88 to 214 matches the Rfam family "Eukaryotic small subunit ribosomal RNA", at positions 735 to 864 of the family's 1831-position model. The record is from RNAcentral. Lineage: Eukaryota; Fungi.